GACGAACGCUGGCGGCGUGCUUAACACAUGCAAGUCGAACGGAAAGGCCCUGCUUUUGUGGGGUGCUCGAGUGGCGAACGGGUGAGUAACACGUGAGUAACCUGCCCUUGACGUUGGGAUAACUUCAGGAAACUGGUGCUAAUACCGGAUAGUAGCUCCUGCUGCAUGGUGGGGGUUGGAAAGGUUCGGCGGUUGGGGAUGGACUCGCGGCUUAUCAGCUUGUUGGUGGGGUAGUGGCUUACCAAGGCUUUGACGGGUAGCCGGCCUGAGAGGGGGACAGGCCACAUUGGGACUGAGAUAAGGCCCGGACUCCUACGGGAGGGAGGAGUGGGGAAUAUUGCCCAAUGGGCGGAAGCCUGAUGCAGCAACGCCGCGUGGGGGAUGACGGCCUUCGGGUUGUAACCCGCUUUCGCCUGUGACGAAGCGUGAGUGACGGUAAUGGGUAAAGAAGCACCGGCUAACUACGUG
RNAcentral lists this ribosomal RNA (468 nucleotides) under uncultured bacterium. RNAcentral describes it as "partial 16S ribosomal RNA". It matches the Rfam family "Bacterial small subunit ribosomal RNA", at positions 28 to 507 of the family's 1533-position model. The record is from RNAcentral.